CCUACGGGUGGCAGCAGUGGGGAAUAUUGCACAAUGGGGGAAACCCUGAUGCAGCGACGCCGCGUGAGUGACGAAGUACUUCGGUACGUAAAGCUCUAUCAGCAGGGAAGAAAAUGACGGUACCUGACUAAGAAGCCCUGGCCAACUACGUGCCAGCCGCCGCGGUAAUACGGCGGGGGCAAGCGUUAUCCGGAUUUACUGGGUGUAAAGGGAGCGUAGACGGGGGGGCAAGUCUGGAGUGAAAGGCCAGAGCUCAACCACAGAACGGCUUGGGAAACUGUACAACUAGAGUGCGGGAGAGGUAAGAGGAAUUCCUGGUGUAGCGGUGAAAUGCGUAGAUAUUAGGAGGAACACCGGGGGCGAAGGCGGCUUACUGGACGGAAACUGACGUUGAGGCUCGAAAGCGUGGGGAGCAAACAGGAUUAGAUACCCUGGUAGUC
Molecule: ribosomal RNA, 440 nt
Filed under: uncultured bacterium
Lineage: Bacteria
Description: partial 16S ribosomal RNA
Rfam family: Bacterial small subunit ribosomal RNA
Source: RNAcentral